This 301-nucleotide ribosomal RNA is filed under the name uncultured bacterium. RNAcentral describes it as "partial 16S ribosomal RNA". It matches the Rfam family "Bacterial small subunit ribosomal RNA", at positions 509 to 809 of the family's 1533-position model. The record is from RNAcentral.
CAGCAGCCGCGGGAAUACAGAGGGUGCGAGCGUUAAUCGGAUUUACUGGGCGUAAAGCGUGCGUAGGCGGCUUCUUAAGUCGGAUGUGAAAUCCCUGAGCUUAACUUAGGAAUUGCAUUCGAUACUGGGAAGCUAGAGUAUGGGAGAGGAUGGUAGAAUUCCAGGUGUAGCGGUGAAAUGCGUAGAGAUCUGGAGGAAUACCGAUGGCGAAGGCAGCCAUCUGGCCUAAUACUGACGCUGAGGUACGAAAGCAUGGGGAGCAAACAGGAUUAGAUACCCCAGUAGUCCCUGUCUCUUAUAU